UUCACGAAUAUGUUGCAUUGCAUUUAUGAUGUUGAUGUGGAUUGGUCAUUGGAUGAUCCUUUAGUCCUCAUAUGAUAUGAUGAUGCUACGGCAUGAUAUGGUAUGGAAGUCCAGGUUGUACCCAUUCUACGUCCCUGGCACGAUGUAAGAGAAAGUCCAGGUUGUACCCAUUCUACGUCCCUGGCACAGUUGGACUGUAUGAUAUGUUAUGUUAAGGGAAAGACCGGUUGUACCCAUUCUACGUCCCG
This 248-nucleotide long non-coding RNA is filed under the name Manihot esculenta (cassava). RNAcentral's name for it is "long non-coding RNA (MESC_LNC012923)". Lineage: Eukaryota; Viridiplantae; Streptophyta; Magnoliopsida; Malpighiales; Euphorbiaceae. The record is from RNAcentral.